UACGUAGGGUGCGAGCGUUAAUCGGAAUUACUGGGCGUAAAGCGUGCGCAGGCGGUUUUGUAAGCCAGAUGUGAAAUCCCCGGGCUCAACCUGGGAAUGGCAUUUGGGACUGCAAGGCUGGAGUGCGGCAGAGGAGACUGGAAUUCCUGGUGUAGCAGUGAAAUGCGUAGAUAUCAGGAGGAAUACCGAUGGCGAAGGCAGGUCUCUGGGCUGGCACUGACGCUCAUGCACGAAAGCGUGGGGAGCAAACAGG
This 253-nucleotide ribosomal RNA is filed under the name uncultured bacterium. RNAcentral describes it as "partial 16S ribosomal RNA". It matches the Rfam family "Bacterial small subunit ribosomal RNA", at positions 524 to 776 of the family's 1533-position model. The record is from RNAcentral.